UCUGCAUGAUUUAGCGGCGGACGGGUGAGUAAUGCCUAGGAAUCUGCCUGGUAGUGGGGGAUAACGUUCCGAAAGGAACGCUAAUACCGCAUACGUGCUACGGGAGAAAGCAGGGGACCUUCGGGCCUUGCGCUAUCAGAUGAGCCUAGGUCGGAUUAGCUUGUUGGUGAGGUAAUGGCUCACCAAGGCGACGAUCCGUAACUGGUCGGAGAGGAUGAUCAGUCACACUGGAACUGAGACACGGUCCAGACUCCUACGGGAGGCAGCAGUGGGGAAUAUUGGACAAUGGGCGAAAGCCUGAUCCAGCCAUGCCGCGUGUGUGAAGAAGGUCUUCGGAUUGUAAAGCACUUUAAGUUGGGAGGAAGGGCGUUUGGCUAAUAUCCAAGCGUUUUGACGUUACCGACAGAAUAAGCACCGGCUAGCUUCGUGCCAGCAGCCGCGGUAAU
This 446-nucleotide ribosomal RNA is filed under the name Ectopseudomonas oleovorans. RNAcentral describes it as "bacterial SSU rRNA". It matches the Rfam family "Bacterial small subunit ribosomal RNA", at positions 82 to 524 of the family's 1533-position model. The record is from RNAcentral. Lineage: Bacteria; Pseudomonadati; Pseudomonadota; Gammaproteobacteria; Pseudomonadales; Pseudomonadaceae.